CCUACGGGAGGCAGCAGUGGGGAAUUUUGGACAAUGGGCGCAAGCCUGAUCCAGCAAUGCCGCGUGAGUGAAGAAGGCCUUCGGGUUGUAAAGCUCUUUUGUCAGGGAAGAAACGGUUGAGGCUAAUAUCCUCGGCUAAUGACGGUACCUGAAGAAUAAGCACCGGCUAACUACGUGCCAGCAGCCGCGGUAAUACGUAGGGUGCAAGCGUUAAUCGGAAUUACUGGGCGUAAAGCGUGCGCAGGCGGUUUUUGUAAGUCUGUCGUGAAAGCCCCGGGCUUAACCUGGGAAUUGCGAUGGAGACUGCAAGGCUUGAAUCUGGCAGAGGGGGGGUAGAAUUCCACGUGUAGCAGUGAAAUGCGUAGAGAUGUGGAGGAACACCGAUGGCGAAGGCAGCCCCCUGGGUCAAGAUUGACGCUCAUGCACGAAAGCGUGGGGAGCAAACAGGAUUAGAUACCCUGGUAGUCCACGCCCUAAACGAUGUCUACUAGUUGUCGGGUCUUAAUUGACUUGGUAACGCAGCUAACGCGUGAAGUAGACCGCCUGGGGAGUACGGUCGCAAGNUUAAAACGUCAAAUGAAUUGACGG
RNAcentral lists this ribosomal RNA (588 nucleotides) under uncultured bacterium. Its description in RNAcentral is "bacterial SSU rRNA". It matches the Rfam family "Bacterial small subunit ribosomal RNA", at positions 338 to 916 of the family's 1533-position model. The record is from RNAcentral.